This 279-nucleotide ribosomal RNA is filed under the name uncultured Staphylococcus sp. Its description in RNAcentral is "partial 16S ribosomal RNA". It matches the Rfam family "Bacterial small subunit ribosomal RNA", at positions 505 to 783 of the family's 1533-position model. The record is from RNAcentral. Lineage: Bacteria; Bacillati; Bacillota; Bacilli; Caryophanales; Staphylococcaceae.
GUGCCAGCAGCCGCGGUAAUACGUAGGUGGCAAGCGUUAUCCGGAAUUAUUGGGCGUAAAGCGCGCGUAGGCGGUUUUUUAAGUCUGAUGUGAAAGCCCACGGCUCAACCGUGGAGGGUCAUUGGAAACUGGAAGACUUGAGUGCAGAAGAGGAAAGUGGAAUUCCAUGUGUAGCGGUGAAAUGCGCAGAGAUAUGGAGGAACACCAGUGGCGAAGGCGACUUUCUGGUCUGUAACUGACGCUGAUGUGCGAAAGCGUGGGGAUCAAACAGGAUUAGAU